UACGUAGGGGGCAAGCGUUGUCCGGAAUCAUUGGGCGUAAAGAGCGUGUAGGCGGUUCGGUAAGUCGGCUGUGAAAGUCCAGGGCUCAACCCUGGGAUGCCGGUCGAUACUGCCGGACUAGAGUUCGGAAGAGGCGAGUGGAAUUCCCGGUGUAGCGGUGAAAUGCGCAGAUAUCGGGAGGAACACCUAUGGCGAAGGCAGCUCGCUGGGACGUUACUGACGCUGAGACGCGAAAGCGUGGGUAGCGAACAGG
This 253-nucleotide ribosomal RNA is filed under the name uncultured bacterium. RNAcentral's name for it is "partial 16S ribosomal RNA". It matches the Rfam family "Bacterial small subunit ribosomal RNA", at positions 524 to 776 of the family's 1533-position model. The record is from RNAcentral.